UGUACAUCCAGCAAGCAAUCUCUGGUUAAUUCCACCAUUUCAAAGAACAAGAAUUAGUUUAAUUACAAUCAGGUUGGAUUAAAAGGGUAUACAUGCAAAUUAAACCCAUGAAAAGAGACAGGUGGAGAUAACGUUUUAAGAGAUAGGAAGAAAAAGGAAAGUGAUCAAAUUGACAAGUGAAGCUGUGAAGGGAGAAAAAGGAUGAAAGGUCUGUCCAUGGACCACGUGGGCUAAGCUUUGCAGCCCUCCGGUCCGUUUUGAACAGGCUACACGAAUCAUAUUUUGUUCUGUUCUGAACCAUGUGGUGCACCAACCAAGUGUGGCCCUGUGAUUCAUUUACCACAAACUCCGUUCAUAAAACAACAAAACCAAGAAGAAAACUAAACAUACCUGCGUAUGAUGAUAUGCACACAA
RNAcentral lists this unclassified non-coding RNA (414 nucleotides) under Hevea brasiliensis (rubber tree). The record is from RNAcentral. Lineage: Eukaryota; Viridiplantae; Streptophyta; Magnoliopsida; Malpighiales; Euphorbiaceae.